CCUACGGGUGGCUGCAGUGGGGAAUAUUGCACAAUGGGGGAAACCCUGAUGCAGCAACGCCGCGUGGGUGAAGGAGCGCCUCGGCGCGUAAAGCCCUGUCAGCGGGGAAGAAGAAAGAGGUAACUGGACCAAGAAGCCCCGGCUAACUACGUGCCAGCAGCGGCGGUAAUACGUAGGGUGCAAGGUUUACUCGGAUUCACUGGGGGUAAAGGGUGCGCAGGCGGGCUUGUAAGCCAGAUGUGAAAGCCUGUAGCUUAACCACAGAACUGCAUUUGAAACUGUGAGGCUAGAGUGUGGGAGGGGUAGGCGGAAUUCGUGGUGUAGCGGUGAAAUGCGUAGAUAUCAAGAGGAACACUGAUUGCGAAGGCGGCCUGCUGGA
RNAcentral lists this ribosomal RNA (379 nucleotides) under uncultured bacterium. RNAcentral describes it as "partial 16S ribosomal RNA". It matches the Rfam family "Bacterial small subunit ribosomal RNA", at positions 338 to 733 of the family's 1533-position model. The record is from RNAcentral.